Non-coding RNA from Salvelinus sp. IW2-2015, 2072 nucleotides. The record is from RefSeq and is a predicted model, not a curated record. NCBI's taxonomy places the organism in Eukaryota, Metazoa, Chordata, Actinopteri, Salmoniformes, Salmonidae.
UUCCAAAUGAUUUGAAAAUCUUCAAAUCGGCAUUAUCUGACAUGUACAGUCAUUGAGUUCUUGGGAGAAUAUCUGAGAGAUAAUAGCAUCAGGAAUGUAAUCAAUUUACAAUCAAAAGUAUAGUAAUUUGGUGCCACAGUGAUCAAUACAACGCAUAUGAACAGAUCAAUACAUCUGAACCGUAUAGUGUUACAGCAUAACAAAAAGGCCAAUCUCUCAACAGUGCUUGUUUGUUGGUUACACCGUCAGACAUGUCAACAAUGAGAUAUUGCUGUAACCGUUUUCGCUAAGUUCCUACAAUAUGUAGCUAGCUUUCUCCUAUUUCUACAAUAUGAACAAAAAUGUGGAAUACAUGGACAGACUUGGACGUGUAUCUCAUGUAACUUCAACACCACACCAUAUUUCAUGGACAUGUUGUAACAAAUCUUACUAAGAUACUAACUCAUGRCCAAUCCAGUUUGGGGGGAGGGUUACCUUCUUUGUUUUAAGACAUCAGGCCAGUAUGGCAUACCGUGACUACCUACUCCUACAGUAACAUGAUCUAAAAUUCAAACAAUCACUUCUACAAGAUUGUGCAAGUGUCUAUAUUAGUCUUGGUAGAUACUUGACUAUUUCCUUUGUGGCCACUGGUCAGCAACUGCCAGUUAAGAGAGUUCCUAACUUGUUAGGAGUCCUAAUUAGCAUGUAUAGCAUCUGCAAAAAUAGAAGGGGAAAAAAACUGGAGAAUAACAUGGCCAGCAGUAGUUUCAGAGUURCCCCUUGCCUUCCACGGCUGGGGUAGAGAACAGAGAAAACGGUUGAACAUUUAAUCCCUUUCAUGAAGAGGCUUAAAAAGCUGAAAUGGUAACAUUAUUGUCACACAGAAAAAAAUGUUUGUUUUACAGAGUCCCAGUUUGAUGUUUUUCCUCUCCAGUUCUCAAUAGGCUUGUGUUGCCAGAGAUAAACCAGCUAAUGUCUCUCCCCUGAUUCUCUCUGGGGAGAGCUGGGGCACUGGGGUAAUUCUGACAAACACUCCUUUCUUUACAAAGUUGUGUGUGUGUGUCGCUGGUGUGUGUGUGUGUGUAGGGAGAGGUGGCAUUACAGAGAGGGGCAAGGAAGAGAGACAAAAGGAGACAAAACCGUACUAAGAAGAGCGGUUGUGAACUUCAUUCAUGAAUCCCUAUAUACGUGGCUCACUGAGGCUACACAUCUUCAUGCAUGGAGGAUUACCAUUAUCUGCUCAGUAUGUGUGAAAGUGGAGAGAUUAUCUCCUUGAUUAUUUGCCUAGUCGAUAAACAAAAAAAGGCAGUCCCUCCCCCUAAACUGGUUGAAUAGGGCACAGUCAGAGCACUGUGAGAGGAAGAUUGUACUAAAUGACAUGGACUCUCAUAGUGGAGCGCCCAGUCCAUGUUCCGCUGUGACGAAUACAACAUAAGGAUUAGAUAGACGUUCCCUGAGCACAGUCAGCCCACUCUCUCUUUGUCCAGAGAAACAAACUCAGCGGAUGGGAAUCUCACGAGAGGAAGAAGCAGGGCUGAGAAUAGAUAGCGGGAGAAUCUCAUCUCACCAGCCAAUGGAGUGGUAAUAAGUCAGAAUAGACUAGAGCAGCUUCAGCAGUUGAUCACAGAGGGCAGCUCUUAACAUUGAUCUAUAGGAGUGUAAAGCACUGGGAGAAUCAUGAUCAUAUCAAUCAUGUAAACAUGARGCCRCAWUUUACAGCUCGGCAUUCUGGGUGAAGGGUAAAUAAGRUGUGCACUGUAUGGCACUAAAACCUGUCAAAUCAGGGAUGAGAUGUGGGCAAUUUCCAGCAUCGGAAAUUAACCGUAAAUUAUUAAGAAAAAGUACCUCUGGUUUCUCUGGAGAGACCCCUCACAAACAUCUAUUACGUUUUUAAAGAAGCACUAGAGAGAACAUUACAUCAACAGUUCAUAAAUACACGUGUAACAUUGAGGCAUUUCUUUCCGCUAGUUUGACAACUAUCAUUACUGUUCACUAAGACUUGCCAUGUAAAUCUACCAUCAUGUACAAUGAAAAUACAAGCAAUGAGUACACGCGAGACAACAAAAGAAAUGCACGGUGAAGAAACAAACAAA